GGCAGGGAGAGUGCUCUCGGCGUGGUGGACCAAGAUGAAGCCCUACUACACACAGGCAUACCAGGAGGUGUGGGUCGGUGUUGGCAUUAUGACCUAUCUGUACUACAAGGUCUCCUAUGGAGGGAAGAAAGCAGUCAAAAGCAGUUCUGGACACUGAUUGGACGAUAUACCCAACUACUGGCUCCUCCUUCUGUCGGCCUCUUCAGCUCUUGGGAUGUGAUGCAACAUACUCCAUGUGCUCAGGAGACUGGCUGUCUGUAUUGCAAUGCAAUAAACUGAAGUUCCUUUUGCAGAUUU
Molecule: non-coding RNA, 297 nt
Organism: Paramormyrops kingsleyae
Lineage: Eukaryota; Metazoa; Chordata; Actinopteri; Osteoglossiformes; Mormyridae
Source: RefSeq, a predicted model, not a curated record